This 707-nucleotide ribosomal RNA is filed under the name aff. Corthylini/Cryphalini sp. UFIFAS UFFE 13721. RNAcentral's name for it is "partial large subunit ribosomal RNA". It matches the Rfam family "Eukaryotic large subunit ribosomal RNA", at positions 400 to 850 of the family's 3401-position model. Lineage: Eukaryota; Metazoa; Arthropoda; Insecta; Coleoptera; Curculionidae. The record is from RNAcentral.
UGAAACCGUUUAGGGGUAAACCUGAGAAACCCGAAAGGUCGAAGGAAGAAAUUCAAUCGCGUUUCGACAACAACGUUGUUUGGUCGAGUGACGAAAGUAUGCUUGCAUAUAUUUCGCACCUGCCGUUCAUCGAAUUGUUGACGAACGUGUGCACUUUUCUUUUGGUAGGACGUCGCGAUCCGUUGGGUAUCGGUCUAAGGCUUACGGUGGAGACCGUCAUUACUUUUUUAUUAAUGUAGUGGCGAACCCGUUCGUUUACCGACCGAUUUGCCCGACGGUAUGUGAACGGUUUGGGGCCGCUAAUUAUUAUAAGCGUUCGACUCGUGGCAAGCACGUUAAAUGUUUGACGAUUUUCGGACUUUGUGCCGAUAUUGUCCUUUAACGACUGUUGGCUGCGUAGUUCUCGAACAGACCUCAUAUUAAAAACCGAUCUGCGACGCUAUAGCUUUGGGUACUUUCAGGACCCGUCUUGAAACACGGACCAAGGAGUCUAGCAUGUGCGCAAGUCAUUGGGUUUAUUAUUAUACCUAAAGGCGAAAUGAAAGUAAAGGUAUUCCUUGCGAAGACCAAGGGAAGACAAAUGGUAUGCCCUUAAAAGCGACCGUUUUGCAUUCCCAGGGCGUCUCAUUCUCAUUGCGAGAAGAGGCGCACCAAGAGCGUACACGCUGGGACCCGAAAGAUGGUGAACUAUGCCUGGUCAGGACGAA